Molecule: ribosomal RNA, 261 nt
Filed under: uncultured bacterium
Lineage: Bacteria
Description: partial 16S ribosomal RNA
Rfam family: Bacterial small subunit ribosomal RNA
Source: RNAcentral
CACGUAGGGUGCGAGCGUUGUCCGGAAUUAUUGGGCGUAAAGAGCUCGUAGGCGGUGUGUCGCGUCGGCCGUGAAAACCUGCAGCUUAACUGUGGGCUUGCGGUCGAUACGGGCAUCACUGGAGUUCGGCAGGGGAGACUGGAAUUCCUGGUGUAGCGGUGAAAUGCGCAGAUAUCAGGAGGAACACCGGUGGCGGAGGGCGGGGUCUCCUGGGGCCGGAUACUGACGCUGAGGAGCGAAAGCGUGGGGAGGCGAACAGGA